AUGGCGACCGGCGCACGGGUGAGUAACACGUAUCCAACCUGCCGAUAACUCCGGAAUAGCCUUUCGAAAGAAAGAUUAAUACCGGAUGGCAUACGAAUAUCGCAUGAUAUUUUUAUUUAAAGAAUUUCGGUUAUCGAUGGGGAUGCGUUCCAUUAGUUUGUUGGCGGGGUAACGGCCCACCAAGACUACGAUGGAUAGGGGUUCUGAGAGGAAGGUCCCCCACAUUGGAACUGAGACACGGUCCAAACUCCUACGGGAGGCAGCAUG
This 267-nucleotide ribosomal RNA is filed under the name uncultured bacterium. RNAcentral's name for it is "partial 16S ribosomal RNA". It matches the Rfam family "Bacterial small subunit ribosomal RNA", at positions 88 to 353 of the family's 1533-position model. The record is from RNAcentral.